CUCCUUGUGGUGUAGUUGGCUAUCACGUUCGACUGUAAUUGAUAAAUCAAAUCGAAAGGUCACUAGCUCGAUUCCGGUCGAGGAGA
Molecule: transfer RNA, 86 nt
Filed under: Bombardia bombarda
Lineage: Eukaryota; Fungi; Ascomycota; Sordariomycetes; Sordariales; Lasiosphaeriaceae
Description: tRNA-Tyr
Source: RNAcentral